AUAUGAUGAAACCAACCCAAACUUGCUGGAAUUACCGGCAGAUUGAGUGGUGGUGACAAGAGGUGGUUCUGAUG
This 74-nucleotide small nucleolar RNA is filed under the name Eurypyga helias (sunbittern). Lineage: Eukaryota; Metazoa; Chordata; Aves; Eurypygiformes; Eurypygidae. The record is from RNAcentral.